GACGAACGCUGGCGGCGUGCCUAAUACAUGCAAGUCGAACGCAUUUUCUUUCACCGUGGCUUGCUACACCGAGAGAAAAUCAGGUGCGAACGGGGGAGUAACCCGUGCGUAACCUGCCCAUCAGCGGGGGAUAACCCUUGGAAACAGGUGCUAAUACCGCAUAAUUCCUUUUACCGCAUGGUAGAUGGGUGCAGGUGGCUUUUGCGUCACUGAUCGAUGGACCCGCGGUGCUUUUUCUAGUUGGGGAGGUUACGGCCUACCAAGGCUGCGAGUCAUAGCCGGACUGAGGAGGGGGACCGGCACCCCGGGACCGGGGCACGGCCCCAGACUCCACCGGAGGGAGCAGUAGGGGAACUUCGGCAAUGGGGGGAAGGCUGACCGGGCAACGCCGCGUGAGGGGAGAAGGUUUUCGGGUCGUAAAACUCUGUUGUUAGGGAAGAACAAGAAGGAGAGUGGAAAGUUCAUCCCUUGACGGUAUCUAACCAGAAAGCCACGGCUAACUACGUG
This 507-nucleotide ribosomal RNA is filed under the name uncultured bacterium. RNAcentral describes it as "partial 16S ribosomal RNA". It matches the Rfam family "Bacterial small subunit ribosomal RNA", at positions 28 to 507 of the family's 1533-position model. The record is from RNAcentral.